AAAAAAAAUACUGUUAUAGUAUUAACAAGACUUCAAUUAGGAAAACACAAAAUAGAUACCUUAGCAUUAGUAGAUUCGCGAUGUACUAAUAGCAUCCUCAAUAAGAAAAUAGUACCUCCAGAACUAAUAAAAACUUCUUCUAAUAUUACUUCAAUGUUCAUUCCUUCUAAUGGUACUUCCUUCAGGAUGCUUUUUUCUUCUAUAUCUCUGCGAGUUACAU
This 220-nucleotide unclassified non-coding RNA is filed under the name Hevea brasiliensis (rubber tree). The record is from RNAcentral. Lineage: Eukaryota; Viridiplantae; Streptophyta; Magnoliopsida; Malpighiales; Euphorbiaceae.